This 492-nucleotide ribosomal RNA is filed under the name uncultured bacterium. RNAcentral describes it as "partial 16S ribosomal RNA". It matches the Rfam family "Bacterial small subunit ribosomal RNA", at positions 29 to 507 of the family's 1533-position model. The record is from RNAcentral.
AGUGAACGCUGGCGGUAGGCCUAACACAUGCAAGUCGAACGGCAGCACAGUAAGAGCUUGCUCUUACGGGUGGCGAGUGGCGGACGGGUGAGGAAUACAUCGGAAUCUACUUUUUCGUGGGGGACAACGCAGGGAAACUUACGCUAAUACCGCAUACGACCUACGGGUGAAAGCAGGGGAUCUUCGGACCUUGCGCGAUUGAAUGAGCCGAUGUCGGAUUAGCUAGUUGGCGGGGUAAAGGCCCACCAAGGCGACGAUCCGUAGCUGGUCUGAGAGGAUGAUCAGCCACACUGGAACUGAGACACGGUCCAGACUCCUACGGGAGGCAGCAGUGGGGAAUAUUGGACAAUGGGCGCAAGCCUGAUCCAGCCAUACCGCGUGGGUGAAGAAGGCCUUCGGGUUGUAAAGCCCUUUUGUUGGGAAAGAAAAGCAGCAGGUUAAUACCCCGCUGUUCUGACGGUACCCAAAGAAUAAGCACCGGCUAACUUCGUG